AUUAAACGCUGGCGGCAUGCCUUACACAUGCAAGUCGAACGGCAGCACGGGGGCAACCCUGGUGGCGAGUGGCGGACGGGUGAGUAAUGCAUCGGAACGUAUCCUGGAGUGGGGGGAUAACGUAGCGAAAGUUACGCUAAUACCGCAUAUUCUGUGAGCAGGAAAGCAGGGGAUCGCAAGACCUUGCGCUCUGGGAGCGGCCGAUGUCGGAUUAGCUAGUUGGUGGGGUAAAGGCCUACCAAGGCGACGAUCCGUAGCGGGUCUGAGAGGAUGAUCCGCCACACUGGGACUGAGACACGGCCCAGACUCCUACGGGAGGCAGCAGUGGGGAAUUUUGGACAAUGGGCGCAAGCCUGAUCCAGCCAUGCCGCGUGAGUGAAGAAGGCC
Molecule: ribosomal RNA, 387 nt
Filed under: uncultured bacterium
Lineage: Bacteria
Description: bacterial SSU rRNA
Rfam family: Bacterial small subunit ribosomal RNA
Source: RNAcentral